Long non-coding RNA from Erpetoichthys calabaricus (reedfish), 560 nucleotides. RefSeq lists it as uncharacterized. Lineage: Eukaryota; Metazoa; Chordata; Cladistia; Polypteriformes; Polypteridae. The record is from RefSeq and is a predicted model, not a curated record. The transcript has 3 exons.
UUGCAUUUGAAGUUUAUUUUUUUCUUCUAGAUGCACAGUUUUGUUCUAUAAACUGUAUACAUAUUUUCUACAAAACCUUUUUUGUUGCCUUGAUUAAUUUCAGACACAGCAACUACACUUGAUGAUGAGAGAUCCUGUGGUUAACAAAGUGAGCUUCAUACAUUUACUUUAUGUAUUGAGAAGACUUCAAAAUGGGAAGAAUCCCAACUCACACUUAAGAGCACUUUUAUUUUUCACAUCAAUAUACAGUAAAAGCUUUAUUGACUAAAAGAUAUGAGAUAUGUUUGCAGUAGUCUAACAAAGCAUACUUUAUUAUUUUCUGAGAUGUCAAGUUCAAGCCUUUGUAUAUAUGCAGACAAAAACAAGCAAUAAGACUAGCAAUAAGACAUUGGUACAUUGUUAUUGUUUUGACUCAGUUCUGUCUAUGUGGCAUUCAGAAAUGAGCAUCAACCAUUAAAAUUGUAAAAAGUCACAUUGACUCUAAUAUGACAAAAUAAUAAAUGAUAAUGUUUUGUACCUGAUAUCAUGUCACUGGGCCAUGGACAGAAAUUAUAAAUGAG